AUUGCACGCUGGCGGCAGGCCUAACCCAUGCAAGUCGAACGAGGGGCGGACGGGUGAGUAAUGUCUGGGAAACUGCCUGAUGGAGGGGGAUAACUACUGGAAACGGUAGCUAAUACCGCAUACCAUCGGAUGUGCCCAGAUGGGAUUAGCUAGUAGGUGGGUUAAAGGCUCACCUAGGCGACGAUCCCUAGCUGGUCUGAGAGUAUGACCAGCCAGACUGGAACUGAGACACGGUCCAGACGCCUACGGGAGGCAGCAGUGGGGAAUAUUGCACAAUGGGCGCAAGCCGGAUGCAGCCAUGCGGCGUGUAUGAAGAAGGCCUUCGGGUUGUAAAGUACUUGCAGCGGGGAGGCGUUAGCCGCAGAAGAAGCACCGGCUAACUCCGUGCCAGCAGCCGCGGUAAUUC
This 406-nucleotide ribosomal RNA is filed under the name uncultured bacterium. Its description in RNAcentral is "partial 16S ribosomal RNA". It matches the Rfam family "Bacterial small subunit ribosomal RNA", at positions 30 to 526 of the family's 1533-position model. The record is from RNAcentral.